This 75-nucleotide transfer RNA is filed under the name Aconitum reclinatum. Its description in RNAcentral is "tRNA-Asp". It matches the Rfam family "tRNA", at positions 19 to 71 of the family's 71-position model. From Rfam's summary of the family: Transfer RNA (tRNA) molecules are approximately 80 nucleotides in length. Their secondary structure includes four short double-helical elements and three loops (D, anti-codon, and T loops). Lineage: Eukaryota; Viridiplantae; Streptophyta; Magnoliopsida; Ranunculales; Ranunculaceae. The record is from RNAcentral.
CAGAGCACCGCCCUGUCAAGGCGGAACCCGUAGCUUCCGCCUUGACAGCUACGGGUUCGAGCCCCGUCAGUCCCG